ACUUGCACAGUGAAUCAGUGGUCGGAGUCAGCGUAAUUACAGCGAGUUGACAUAAUUGACACUGGUGAUGAGUUGAUCUGAUUUCCGGUUCUUGCACAUUGUUUCCUUUUUGAUUAAUGGCGGACGCGACCACGAGGAGAGGAGAGUUCAAACAGACCAUCGAUAGGAUCUCAAGGCCGUUUUGCUAGUUCGCUGGCAAACUGAGCUUUCAUCAUGCUGGUUAAAGUUCAGUAUCAAGGUGUAAAGAAAUUUGUGAAAUAUCUCAGCGAUUCUACGUUCCAAGAUUUUCUCAAUGAAGUUAAGGGCAAAUCUGGCUUAGCCAGAACUGCAGCUCUUCAAGUCUUUGAUGACAC
Molecule: long non-coding RNA, 353 nt
Organism: Sander lucioperca (pikeperch)
Lineage: Eukaryota; Metazoa; Chordata; Actinopteri; Perciformes; Percidae
Exons: 4
Source: RefSeq, a predicted model, not a curated record